Molecule: non-coding RNA, 204 nt
Organism: Otolemur garnettii (small-eared galago)
Lineage: Eukaryota; Metazoa; Chordata; Mammalia; Primates; Galagidae
Source: Rfam
AGGCGCGGAGCCUCAAGGAUCAUUUCUAUAGUUCGUUACUGGAGAAAUCUCUCUGAAUGUGUAGAGCACCGGAAACCACAAGGAGGAGGCACAGCAUUCUCUCCUGAGCGUGAAGCUGGCUCUUGUUUUUGCUUUAGUGCAGUUGCCAUUUGCCAUGAUGAUCCUUCUUUUCCUUUGGGGGAGUAAGAGGGAGAGAACAUAGGA